CUUAAGUGGGGAAUAACGCAUCGAAAGGUGUGCUAAUACCGCAUAAUCUCUGAGGAGAAAAGCAGGGGAUCGCAAGACCUUGCGCUUUUGGAGCGGCCGAUGUCUGAUUAGCUUGUUGGUAAGGUAAAAGCUUACCAAGGCUUCGAUCAGUAGCUGGUCUGAGAGGACGACCAGCCACACUGGGACUGAGACACGGCCCAGACUCCUACGGGAGGCAGCAGUGGGGAAUUUUGGACAAUGGGGGCAACCCUGAUCCAGCCAUGCCGCGUGAGUGAAGAAGGCCUUCGGGUUGUAAAGCUCUUUCAGCCGGAACGAAACGGUUACGGUUAAUACCCGUGACUACUGACGGUACCGGAAGAAGAAGCACCGGCUAACUACGUGCCAGCAGCCGCGGUAAUACGUAGGGUGCGAGCGUUAAUCGGAAUUACUGGGCGUAAAGCGUGCGCAGGUGGUUUUGUAAGUCAGAUGUGAAAUCCCCGGGCUCAACCUGGGAACUGCGUUUGAAACUACAAGGCUAGAGUGUGGCAGAGGGGGGUGGAAUUCCGCGUGUAGCAGUGAAAUGCGUAGAGAUGUGGAGGAACACCGAUGGCGAAGGCAGCCCCCUGGGUCAACACUGACGCUCAGGCACGAAAGCAUGGGGAGCAAACAGGAUUAGAUACCCUGGUAGUCCAUGCCCUAAACGAUGUCAACUAGUUGUCGGGCCUUAACGGGCUUGGUAACGUAGCUAACGCGUGAAGUUGACCGCCUGGGGAGUACGAUCGCAAGAUUAAAACUCAAAGGAAUUGACGGGGACCCGCACAAGCGGUGGAUUAUGUGGAUUAAUUCGAUGCAACGCGAAAAACCUUACCUACCCUUGACAUGUAUCGAAGCCCGCAGAAAAGCGGGGGCGCCCGAAAGGGAACGAUAACACAGGUGCUGCAUGGCUGUCGUCAGCUCGUGUCGUGAGAUGUUGGGUUAAGUCCCGCAACGAGCGCAACCCUUGUCAUUAAUUGCCAUCAUUUAGUUGGGCACUUUAAUGAGACUGCCGGUGACAAACCGGAGGAAGGUGGGGAUGACGUCAAGUCCUCAUGGCCCUUAUGGGUAGGGCUUCACACGUAA
RNAcentral lists this ribosomal RNA (1098 nucleotides) under uncultured ammonia-oxidizing bacterium. Its description in RNAcentral is "bacterial SSU rRNA". It matches the Rfam family "Bacterial small subunit ribosomal RNA", at positions 131 to 1225 of the family's 1533-position model. The record is from RNAcentral.